GCUUCCUAAAGCGAGCGAACCCAGUCAGCACCUCUUGAAAUGGAGAUGGUCACUUCUUCAGAUAGCUCCCCAGCUCUGGAAAAUGAGCAUCCUCAAGAGACCCCAGAAUCCAACAAUAGUGUGUAUACUUCCUUCAUGAAGUCUCAUCGCUGCUAUGACCUGAUUCCCACAAGCUCCAAAUUGGCUGUAUUUGAUACUUCCCUGCAGGUGAAGAAAGCUUUCUUUGCUUUGGUGACUAAUGGUGUACGAGCUGCCCCUUUGUGGGAUAGUAAGAAGCAAAGUUUUGUAGGCAUGCUAACCAUCACCGAUUUCAUCAAUAUCCUGCAUCGAUAUUAUAAAUCAGCCUUGGUACAGAUCUGUGAGCUGGAAGAACACAAGAUAGAAACUUGGAGAGAGGUGUACCUACAGGAUGCCUUCAAACCACUCGUCUGCAUUUCUCCUAAUGCCAGCUUGUUCGAUGCUGUCUCUUCAUUAAUUUGAAACAAGAUCCACAGACUGCCAGUUAUUGACUGGGAAUCAGGCAACACUUUGUACAUCCUCACCCACAAGCACAUCCUCAAGUUCCUCAAAUUGUUGAUCACUGAGUUCCCCAAGCCAGAGUUCAUGUCUAAGUCUCUGGAAGAGCUACAGAUUGGCACCUAUGCCAACAUUGCUAUGGUCCGCACCACCACCCCUGUCUAUGUGGCUCUGGGCAUCUUUGUUCAACACCGAGUCUCAGCACUGCCAGUAGUAGAUGAGAAAGGGCGUGUGGUGGACAUCUACUCCAAGUUUGAUGUUAUCAGUCUGGCAGCAGAAAAGACCUGCAACAACCUAGAUGUGUCUGUGACCAAAGCCCUACAACAUCAAUCCCAUUACUUUGAGGGUGUCCUCAAGCGCUACCUGCACGAGACUCUGGAGACCAUCAUCAACAGGCUGGUGGAAGCAGAGGUUCACUGGCUUGUCGUGGUGGAUGGGAAUGAUGUGGUCAAGGGGAUUGUAUCACUGUCUGACAUCCUGCAGGCCCUGGUGCUCACAGGAGGAGAGGAGCCCUGAGCUGGGGAAGGGGUCAGGCAGCACCAGGGGCUAUGCCCCACUCACUGCCUGCCCAAAGUUCUAGGAACCACAGGUGAAACCUUGAGAGAAUUGUGACUCUCUUCCCUGCUCGGGAGCCGGGGAGGGUGUGGGGGGAGGAAGGAGAAUGGAUUUUUAGCUGUCCUUAUCCUCAUGCAUACAGCCUAGCCCAUCCUAGCCCCAGCCCUCUUAGAUGUAGCCCCCUUUCUGGGUGAAUGAUAGGCUGUGUGCCCCUCAGGCCAAUUCUGAUCUCUGAGAGAUCCCCAGACCUCACCCAGCCUUUGCCUCCCUCUCUGCCCCUGACUCCACCCUAAGAUAAUAGCACAACAAAACUCUUCCGAAAGAUAUUUUUAUUCAUCCUGUUUCAUGCUAUAUGGAGGAGGCUGAGUCCAUUUAGUGACAUUUCUUCCCAUAAUGGGAGUGGGGAGGAUUGUAGGGAGGAGGGUCUUUGGGUUCCUGUGCUAUGUGCAUAUGAAGGGAGAUGGGGGUUAGGUGGAGGAGGAGGGCAGAGUGAUUAGCUGAGGUUGUUGCUUUUCAUGGCAAACCUAAUUAAAAUGACAGGA
Leptonychotes weddellii (Weddell seal) is the source of this 1613-nucleotide non-coding RNA. Lineage: Eukaryota; Metazoa; Chordata; Mammalia; Carnivora; Phocidae. The record is from RefSeq and is a predicted model, not a curated record.